CCCUUAGAUGUUCUGGGCUGCACGCGCGCUACACUGAUGCGCUCAACGAGUUUACGAACUUGCCCGGAAGGGUUGGUUAAUCUUUUUAAAACGCAUCGUGAUGGGGAUAGAUUAUUGCAAUUAUUAAUCUUCAACGAGGAAUGCCUAGUAAGCGCAAGUCAUCAGCUUGCGUUGAUUACGUCCCUGCCCUUUGUACACACCGCCCGUCGCUCCUACCGAUUGAAUGGUCCGGUGAAGCGUUCGGACCGUGGCCUUUGGACGGUUCGCCGUCUGUUGGCUGCGGGAAGUUCGUUAAACCUUAUCAUUUAGAGGAAGGAGAAGUCGUAACA
This 329-nucleotide ribosomal RNA is filed under the name uncultured eukaryote. RNAcentral's name for it is "partial 18S ribosomal RNA". It matches the Rfam family "Eukaryotic small subunit ribosomal RNA", at positions 1470 to 1796 of the family's 1831-position model. The record is from RNAcentral.